UAACCGAAGAAACAUGCUGCUAAAUACAUAUUAAAAAAAUAUCUAAGAAAUAUAAUUAACAAAUUUUUUACCAAAUUGUGGCUUACCCUGUUCACAUAUUACCAUUUUCUUUUCAUAUCUGGUAACGUCUCAACGACGGCGACUAUAGUAAUGACAUCCAAUGAUGGUGAAGAAGAAGAAACGAAAAAAACUCAAACAGAUAAAAAGGCGCGACAUCUCUAGAUUGUAGAAUCGAGGUGGGUGUAAACACGACAUAAUAAAAGAGAAUCAAAGGAAAAUAUUAUCAAUUCAAGUACAGAGAAAACGAGUAAAGACAGAGAUUGACGGUGGUAAGUUGAUUUUAGCCUCAUAUAUUUCCGUAUGUUGUAUGUGUAUUGUAUUUCAUGUUAGAAUUGACUUGCCUUGAACCUUUAGAAGUUAUGUUUGGGCGGACCAAUAUAUUCCACCUGUAUUCAUAUUUAUUGUCUUGCUAUUUUAUUUUGAUUUCCUGUGUAGAAAGUUGAUAACUGGAAUAAAUGAUACAAAUGGUAUCAGAAUGGUAUUAUUAUAGUUUUGUGGUAUUGAUGAGACAAUGGUAUUAGAUUACUAUAGUAUGGAAAUGAUUGACAAAUAUUAUAGAAAAUUAAAUAUUUGAAAAAUGAGUUUAGAAAUGAUGCUUCCUAACAGCAUAUGUGAUUCAUCUGAUGGUGGCAGCUUAAAGAUAAAUGGCAUGUGUGCACCGUAUCUUGGAUCCCACUGACAUUUCUGAAACGGAUAUGGAAGUCGCAUACGCAUAAAAUGGGAUUAAUUUGUUUUACUAUUCCAUAUACAAAUUAUUUUUCUAUUCUAUAUAGAUAUAUAGAAUAGAUAUGUAGCAUGAUGUGUUUGUUGUUACUCCACUUGUAAUUACAUUAGCAUUUAGUUAACCACACCCAUACAAGUGUAAACUUCACACAAAUUUAUAUUAUUUUAUUUAUAAUGAUUAUAUUUUACUGUUAAAUGUCGAUUAUCAAUGAAUGAUAUAUAUUGUAUAGUUUAAUAUUACAUAAUAUUAUAUACUAUUUUCAAGAUUUUGAUAUUUGGGUUUAGGGUUUAUAUUUGUGUUUAAUGUUUAGUGAUUAUAGUUUAUGGUUUAGUAUUUAGAAGGUGGGAAGUGAGGUUAGGGUUAUCACUAACUUUUUCCAUGCAAUCAUAGAAAUUUCAUAAUUCCAAUCAUAUGUACUAUGCUAUUUAUUUCGUUCUAUUCUAUUUGGGUUUAUGGUUUAUGUUUGGAUUUAGAAUUUAUAUUUCGGUUUAGGGUUUAGUGAUCAUGGUUUAGGUUUAGAGACCAUGGUUUUGGGUUUAGUAUGUAGGGGGAGGUGGUGUUGUGAUAGAAAUUAUAUUUAGAUUAAGAUUUUUGUUAGUUUCAUAAUUGUUUGGUAAUUUGAUUAGCUUGUACUAUACUAUAUAUUAUUAUAUGUUUUAAUUCAUUAGUGUUUUAGAUUGUAUGCAAUGUUCCAGUUCAUCGAUUUUGUAUAAUAUAUGUUUGUUCUAACACUAACAUAAUUUCCAUACUAUUUUACACUAACAUAAGUUGCAUACUAUAUGAAUAAGUAUGUGGUAAAUAAAUAUCUGACGUGGACUCCAUAUAAAAUUGUAAAUAAUUGUGUUUUAUUUCUGUCCGUAAAAAUAAUUGACAAUGUCAUUCACACUUUUCCUUUUUCACUGGAUAACUGCCACAUAGAAGGGUAUAACCGGUUUAAAAGUGAACCAAAUAUUAGUCACUUAAUAACGUCAAAAU
Molecule: long non-coding RNA, 1759 nt
Filed under: Brassica napus (rape)
Lineage: Eukaryota; Viridiplantae; Streptophyta; Magnoliopsida; Brassicales; Brassicaceae
Description: long non-coding RNA (BNAP_LNC013047)
Source: RNAcentral